Molecule: ribosomal RNA, 496 nt
Filed under: uncultured bacterium
Lineage: Bacteria
Description: partial 16S ribosomal RNA
Rfam family: Bacterial small subunit ribosomal RNA
Source: RNAcentral
AUGAACGCUGGCGGCGUGCCUCAUACAUGCCAGUCGAGCGAACAGAUGAGGAGCUUGCUCCUCUGACGUUAGCGGCGGACGGGUGAGUAACACGUGGAUAACCUACCUAUAAGACUGGGAUAACUUCGGGAAACCGGGGCUAAUACCGGAUAAUAUAUUGAACCGCAUGGUUCAAUAGUGAAAGACGGUUUUGCUGUCACUUAUAGAUGGAUCCGCGCCGCAUUAGCUAGUUGGUAAGGUAACGGCUUACCAAGGCAACGAUGCGUAGCCGACCUGAGAGGGUGAUCGGCCACACUGGAACUGAGACACGGUCCAGACUCCUACGGGAGGCAGCAGUAGGGAAUCUUCCGCAAUGGGCGAAAGCCUGACGGAGCAACGCCGCGUGAGUGAUGAAGGUCUUCGGAUCGUAAAACUCUGUUAUUAGGGAAGAACAAAUGUGUAAGUAACUAUGCACGUCUUGACGGUACCUAAUCAGAAAGCCACGGCUAACUACGUG